This 583-nucleotide unclassified non-coding RNA is filed under the name Erwinia pyrifoliae. Its description in RNAcentral is "16S-23S ribosomal RNA intergenic spacer". The stretch from base 302 to 374 matches the Rfam family "tRNA". The record is from RNAcentral. Lineage: Bacteria; Pseudomonadati; Pseudomonadota; Gammaproteobacteria; Enterobacterales; Erwiniaceae.
CCUGAAGAUACCUUCCGGCGCAGUGUCCACACAGAUUGUCUGAUGAAAAAGUAACGAGCAGAAAAACCUCUACAGGCUUGUAGCUCAGGUGGUUAGAGCGCACCCCUGAUAAGGGUGAGGUCGGUGGUUCAAGUCCACUCAGGCCUACCAAAUUUCUUCUCAUGCUGCGUUAUGCACUCGGUCGUUUACUGUAGUAAACUUCCCUCCCGCAUGCCUUGCCUGAAAAGAAAUUGCAUUUUCUCUUUAUAAAGAAAAUGCGACUCCUCAUGAGUGGUAGAAAAAGGUUUCUGUCAGACCGUAUGGGGCUAUAGCUCAGCUGGGAGAGCGCCUGCCUUGCACGCAGGAGGUCAGCGGUUCGAUCCCGCUUAGCUCCACCAUAUGGUUUUUCUGAAUUCAAUAUUUCAGAGUGUACUGGUUAACAGUAUGCUGCGAAGUAUUAUGCUCUUUAACAAUCCGGAACAAGCUGAAAAUUGAAACGACGUGUCGUGUUCAUUCUCCGUAAUAAGAAUGAAGUUAACGACAUGUUCGAGUCUCUCAAUGCCUGCAACUGACAGACGUCUUUCGGGACGCUUGUGGGUUGUGA